GGGUGGACAAACUGGAGUCCAGAGAGGGCAGAGCCCCUGGGAUGCCUGGCAAGGUGCUCUCACCCCCCCUGUCCUCAGGGGAAGGGGCAAUUCCCUGAAAAGUCCCUUCUCUCCCUGCUAUAGAGGAAGAGGGGCAGAGCUGGGCAUGAGAGGGCCUGACCCUACUUUCCUCUCCCUGGGUAGUUUAUUAUUAUUAUUAUUAUUAUUAUUAUUAUUUUGGAGUCUCUUUUGUAAAUUAAAUAUAAAACAACAAAAAAAUAACACCUCUUUCUCUAACCUGAAGAUAGCCCAGCUGAAGACUUCUGCCCAGGGCCUGAGAGGCCUGCCCUGCAAGCCCAAGAUUUGGAGGUUGGAGGCUGUCCUCUGAGGAACUUCUGAGGCCAAGAGGGCCCAGCAGAGUGGUUCCCACAAAGAAGUGUGGUAAGAAGAAGGGCCCUUCUUCAAUCAAUGAAGUAGUGACCAGAGAAUCCACCAUCAAUAUUCCCAAGCACAUCCAUGAAGUGAGUUUCAAGAAGUGUGCCCCUUAGGCACAAAGAGAUCUGGAAAUUUGCCAUAAAGGAGAUGGGAACUCCAGAUGUGUGCAUUCACACCAGGCUCAACAAAACUAUCUGAGCCAAAGAAAUAAAGAAUAUUCCAUACCAUAUCA
Molecule: long non-coding RNA, 646 nt
Filed under: Felis catus (domestic cat)
Lineage: Eukaryota; Metazoa; Chordata; Mammalia; Carnivora; Felidae
Description: lncRNA (ENSFCAG00000051779.1)
Source: RNAcentral